AGAGAAGGAGCCCUCCGACUCCACUGUCAGACCAGCUGCCAUCCUCACCUGUUAGGCCUCCCUUGCCCUGGAAGCCAAGGGAAAGCCAGGGUUUGAGCAACUUGAGGGCCUUUUCCAUUCCAAGGGGUGACCUUUCUACUGCGCCACCCUGAGAGGACAACUCAACUGGUUCUACCUUUCACUGCCAAGACACGUGAUGUAGUCUGGGGAAUCUGAACUGCUUUUGACUGUACAAAGGAAGGCUCCUUUUUCUGCUGACAGAAGAUCCCAACUGAAAGCCUCCACUGACUUUGGAUCAGGCCCCAGCUGUCUGGCCCCUGCUGAGGGUGACAUUAAUGCAUCUCUGUAGGUCAGAUGGCAGAAGGGAACUUAAAAAACCCUCCAAAAGCCUCUUUUCUUGAAGGCGUUUUUGGUUUGGAUAAGGAGGCAGAGGAGGCUGACCUGGCCAUGAUCUUUAUCUACCUGCUACCAAUUGAAUGCUGCUUUUGAAACAGAUGAGACAAAAUGUUGUUAAUGGUUAAACUGGAAUGUGGAGACCAUUAUCUACUUUGGGAACAAUCUUCUGUUUGUUUUUAGGAUUGGUUCUGUAUUUGGGUCAAGUGAAAGUAGCUUAAAAGUGUAGUAAUUAUUAAUCAUUUUCAUUCUUAGCCCAAUAACUUAUCAUGUGUACAUGUGAUGCUAUGUACUUUUUAUAUGGCCAAAUCCUUAAAUUCUUAUAGUCACUCAUCACUGAGCAUCUUCCCAACUAGAAUGAAUAUAAUUUCACCCCACAACUCUGGUUAUUGGGUGGGGAAUGUUUUUCUGAGACCAUGAAUUCUGCUGAACCAAUGUCUAUAGAAGCCGGUGCUAGCAUGGGUAUCCUCAUGUUUAAAAGGUAACCAUGUAUUCCAUUAACACUGUAGUAUGUAAUCCCUUAGGUGCAUUUGGAAAUGUUACUUGUAAUGCUUUGGUUUAUAUUAAUCUUUGUGGCAAUGAUCCUUGGUAUC
Molecule: long non-coding RNA, 986 nt
Organism: Malaclemys terrapin pileata
Lineage: Eukaryota; Metazoa; Chordata; Testudines; Emydidae
Exons: 4
Source: RefSeq, a predicted model, not a curated record